GGGCUUAGUUACGGCGAGUGAGCGGCAAAAGCUCAAAUUUGAAAUCUGGUACCUUCGGUGCCCGAGUUGUAAUUUGUAGAAGGUAACUUUGGGGCUGGUCCUUGUCUAUGUUCCUUGGAACAGGACGUCAUAGAGGGUGAGAAUCCCGUGUGGCGAGGAUCCCAGUUCUUUGUAAAGUGCUUUCGAAGAGUCGAGUUGUUUGGGAAUGCAGCUCUAAGUGGGUGGUAAAUUCCAUCUAAAGCUAAAUAUUGGCGAGAGACCGAUAGCGAACAAGUACAGUGAUGGAAAGAUGAAAAGAACUUUGAAAAGAGAGUGAAAAAGUACGUGAAAUUGUUGAAAGGGAAGGGCAUUUGAUCAGACAUGGUGUUUUGCGCCCUCUGCUCCUUGUGGGUGGGGGAAUCUCGCAGCUCACUGGGCCAGCAUCAGUUUUGGCGGCAGGAUAAAUCUGCAGGAAUGUAGCUUGCCUCGGUAAGUGUUAUAUCCUGUAGAAAUACUGCCAGCUGGGACUGAGGACUGCGACUUUACGUCAAGGAUGCUGGCAUAAUGGUUAUAUGCCGCCCGUCUUGAACCACGGACC
RNAcentral lists this ribosomal RNA (577 nucleotides) under Torulaspora delbrueckii. RNAcentral's name for it is "partial large subunit ribosomal RNA". It matches the Rfam family "Eukaryotic large subunit ribosomal RNA", at positions 73 to 667 of the family's 3401-position model. The record is from RNAcentral. Lineage: Eukaryota; Fungi; Ascomycota; Saccharomycetes; Saccharomycetales; Saccharomycetaceae.